RNAcentral lists this unclassified non-coding RNA (387 nucleotides) under fungal sp. RNAcentral describes it as "partial internal transcribed spacer region". The stretch from base 1 to 46 matches the Rfam family "Eukaryotic small subunit ribosomal RNA", at positions 1786 to 1831 of the family's 1831-position model. The record is from RNAcentral. Lineage: Eukaryota; Fungi.
AAGUCGUAACAAGGUUUCCGUAGGUGAACCUGCGGAAGGAUCAUUAACACGUAUCCAAACGUUAAAACCCCCCCCGUGAACUUUCAAUCCUGCUCUUGUAACCCGCGUAGUUCCGCAAUCUCUGGUAAAUCAUAGCCCGGAAAGUUGUUUUGAUUCAGAGACCUCUGGCUACGUGAGAACAAUGGAACAGUUACAAUCGAGCGGUGGCAUUGUUUAGUGUCGGAAAGUGUCAUUGAUUGUGCAAGGAUAGCGCUUCACGAUUCCUGUAGACCAGGAGCUAUGCCAAAGGGUCCCCAUGCCCCCUUACAACCCCACAGUUUAAUGUAAAGCUCAAUGUAAUACAUUGGUAAAAAAACCGAACUGUUAACAAUGGAUAUCUUGGUUCUC